UCAUAAUGCAAGUCGAACGAGAAAGUAUCUUCGGAUACGAGUACAGUGGCGGACGGGUGAGUAAUACAUAGGAAUCUACCCAAUGGAGGGGGAUAGCUCGAGGAAACUCGAAUUAAUACCGCAUAAUCUCCACGGAGUAAAGAGGGCUUCGGCUCUCGCCAUCGGAUGAGCCUAUGCAGGAUUAGCUUGUUGGUGAGGUAAAGGCUUACCAAGGCGACGAUCCUUAGCUGGUUUGAGAGGAUGACCAGCCACAUCGGGACUGAGACACGGCCCGGACUUCUACGGAAGGCAGCAGUAGGGAAUAUUGGACAAUGAGCGAAAGCUUGAUCCAGCCAUGCCGCGUGUGCGAUGACGGCCCUCGGGUUGUAAAGCACUUUAGGUAACGAGGAAAAGUUAGGUGUUAAUACCAUCUAACCUUGACGUGUAUUACAGAAUAAGCACCGGCUAAAUCCGUGCCAGCAGCCGCGGUAAUACGGAUGGUGCAAGCGUUAAUCGGAAUUACUGGGCGU
RNAcentral lists this ribosomal RNA (509 nucleotides) under uncultured bacterium. RNAcentral's name for it is "bacterial SSU rRNA". It matches the Rfam family "Bacterial small subunit ribosomal RNA", at positions 49 to 561 of the family's 1533-position model. The record is from RNAcentral.